AAGGAAUAUUGGACAAUGGUCGCAAGACUGAUCCAGCCAUGCCGCGUGCAGGAAGACGGCCCUAUGGGUUGUAAACUGCUUUUGUACCAGAGAAAACCUAUCUACGUGUAGAUAGCUGAUAGUAUGGUAAGAAUAAGCAUCGGCUAACUUCGUGCCAGCAGCCGCGGUAAUACGAAGGAUGCAAGCGUUAUCCGGAAUUAUUGGGUUUAAAGGGUGCGUAGGCGGACUAAUAAGUCAGUGGUGAAAGCCUGCAGCUUAACUGCAGAAUUGCCAUUGAUACUGUUAGUCUUGCGUACAGUUGAGGUUGGCGGAAUGUGUCAUGUGGCGGUGAAAUGCUUAGAUAUGACACAGAACACCGAUUGCGAAGGCAGCUUGCUAAGCUGUAACUGACACUGAGGCACGUAAGCGUGGGGAGCAAACA
Molecule: ribosomal RNA, 421 nt
Filed under: uncultured bacterium
Lineage: Bacteria
Description: bacterial SSU rRNA
Rfam family: Bacterial small subunit ribosomal RNA
Source: RNAcentral